GGGCUCAUAGCUCAGUGGUAGAGCA
This 25-nucleotide non-coding RNA is filed under the name Arabidopsis thaliana (thale cress). Lineage: Eukaryota; Viridiplantae; Streptophyta; Magnoliopsida; Brassicales; Brassicaceae. The record is from RNAcentral.